RNAcentral lists this ribosomal RNA (539 nucleotides) under Morchella sp. Mes-6. Its description in RNAcentral is "eukaryotic LSU rRNA". It matches the Rfam family "Eukaryotic large subunit ribosomal RNA", at positions 73 to 614 of the family's 3401-position model. The record is from RNAcentral. Lineage: Eukaryota; Fungi; Ascomycota; Pezizomycetes; Pezizales; Morchellaceae.
GAUUGCCUCAGUAACGGCGAGUGAAGCGGCAAAAGCUCAAAUUUUAAAGCUGGCACCUUCGGUGUCCGCGUUGUAAUUUUGUGAGGCAUCUCCGGGUAGGGCGCCGGCCUAAGUUCCUUGGAACAGGACGUCAUAGAGGGUGAGAAUCCCGUGCUUGGCUGGCUGUCCCCGUCCAUGUGAGGUGUCUUCGACGAGUCGAGUUGUUUGGGAAUGCAGCUCAAAAUGGGUGGUAAAUUUCAUCUAAAGCUAAAUAUUGGUGGGAGACCGAUAGCGCACAAGUAGAGUGAUCGAAAGAUGAAAAGCACUUUGAAAAUAGAGUUAAAAAGUACGUGAAAUUGUUGAAAGGGAAGCGCUUGAGACCAGACUUCGGUGGGGGGUGAUCAGCUGUCCUUCUGGGCGGUGCACUUGCUCCCCUCCGGGCCAGCAUCGGUUGGGGCGGCGGGAUAAAGAUCCCGGGAAUGUGGCUCCUUUCGGGGAGUGUUAUAGCCCGGGUGAAUGCCGCCAGUUCCGACCGAGGACCGCGCCUUCGGGCUAGGAUG